AUUGAACGCUGGCGGCAUGCCUUACACAUGCAAGUCGAACGGCAGCGGACCUUCGGGUGCCGGCGAGUGGCGAACGGGUGAGUAAUAUAUCGGAACGUACCUUUCAGUGGGGGAUAACGUAGCGAAAGUUACGCUAAUACCGCAUAUUCUGUGAGCAGGAAAGCAGGGGAUCGCAAGACCUUGCGCUGAUUGAGCGGCCGAUAUCAGAUUAGCUAGUUGGUGAGGUAAAGGCUCACCAAGGCGACGAUCUGUAGCGGGUCUGAGAGGAUGAUCCGCCACACUGGAACUGAGACACGGUCCAGACUCCUACGGGGGGCAGCAGUGGGGAAUUUUGGACAAUGGGCGCAAGCCUGAUCCAGCCAUGCCGCGUGAGUGAAGAAGGCCUGG
Molecule: ribosomal RNA, 387 nt
Filed under: uncultured bacterium
Lineage: Bacteria
Description: bacterial SSU rRNA
Rfam family: Bacterial small subunit ribosomal RNA
Source: RNAcentral